UACAGAGGUCUCAAGCGUUGUUCGGAUUCAUUGGGCGUAAAGGGUGCGUAGGUGGCGCUGUAAGUCAGGUGUGAAAUUUCGGAGCUUAACUCCGAAACUGCAUUUGAUACUGCGGUGCUUGAGGACUGGAGAGGAGACUGGAAUUCACGGUGUAGCAGUGAAAUGCGUAGAUAUCGUGAGGAAGACCAGUGGCGAAGGCGGGUCUCUGGACAGUUCCUGACACUGAGGCACGAAGGCCAGGGGAGCAAACAGG
Molecule: ribosomal RNA, 253 nt
Filed under: uncultured bacterium
Lineage: Bacteria
Description: partial 16S ribosomal RNA
Rfam family: Bacterial small subunit ribosomal RNA
Source: RNAcentral